GGUGAACCACCAUGCCUGGCACCCCCUCAGCUUUAUUAAGGUCUGUUCGAGGCUAAAUUGUUUUCCUCAAAAUUGCAUAUGUUGAAGCUCUAACCCUCCCCAACCGUAGAAUGUGACUGUAUUGGAGAUGGGACCUUCGAAAAGUUGAUUAAGGCAGAAUAAGGCGUUAGACUGGGCCCUAAUCUAAUCUGACUGGUAUCCUUAUAAGAAGAGGACAUUGAGAUUCACGGAGACACCAAGAUUUGCACGUAGAGGAAAGACCCUGUGGGAACGCACCAAGAAGGCAGCCAUCUGCAACCCAAGGAGGGAGGCCCCAGGAAAAGGCCCCUGCCGCCAUCUUGAUCCAGGACUUCCGCCAUCUUGACCCAGGACUGCUACUCUCCCAAGCAGUGAGAAAAAUCCAUUUCUGUUGUUUAAGCCACUCAGCCUGUGGCAUUUUGUUAUGGCAGCUCCAAUUGGAGAAGUGACGACGCUGAGUGGACAGAAGUAGAAUGAAAAACUCAACCUGUGAAGCACCCUGAUGUACCAAAUGACUUUUUUUUUUUCUUUUUGAGAUGGAGUCUUGCUCUGUUGCCCAGGCUGGAGUGAUCUUGGCUUACUGCAACCUCCGCCUCCCAGGUUCAAGUGAUUCUCAUGCCUCAGCCUCCCGAGUAGCUGGGAUUACAGGUGCGCGCCCCCACGCCCGGCUGAUGUUUGUAUUUUUAGUAGAGACGGGGUUUCAACAUGUUGGCCAGGCUGGUCUUGAGCUCCUGACUUCAGGUGAUCCACCUGCCUCGGCCUCCCAAAGUGCUGGGAUUAUAGGCAUGAGCCACUGCGCCUGGCCUGUACUAGAUGACUUUUAUGUGAGAUCUCAGUUAUGCAGUUGAAAGCGUUACACCAGAGAGCUGUGCCUGUUGUGCCAUUUGGAGAAGAAAGCUCGGCAAUGGUGCAGUGAGAGGGACACACGUUCCCCCUUUAGUCCUCCUCCUGGACUGAGCUGGAGAGAAACAGCACGAACAAUGAAGAGUGUAAAUUUGAAAAUAGUAGGAAACAACUCGCUUAUUUUAAUGUGUAUAUUUAAAGGCGUUAAUUCAAAACAUCCAGAAGAAAUUAAAAGCAUCCCCUUUUCAGUCAGCAAAUAUUAACAAAGCCCCCACUAUGUUUGAGUUGUGCUUAUGGAAUGAGGUCUUGAACAUGUGUGACCUUUUUUUUCUAGAAGAGCAAAGUUGACCUCUCCAGGUCAAAUGUUUAUUUUACUCAUUUAAAAUAAAAAAUUCAUUUAGAAAUAUAUUUCAUAUUUUCCAUGUUCCUUAAGUAGACUCUAUGGAAUAUAAUUAGAUCCUAGCUUAAUGAUUUACCACCCACAAUAGUACUGUCUGGCCAGUAUUUAUGCUUGGGUACAACAAUCCUCUUCCGUCUAAUGAGCAGUCUCUAACUAUACGGCACAUUUGCUGUCAUCUAAGAAAUCAGAUAACCCUGAUUACUAGAACUGUAUUUAAAGUAAGAGUCAACAUGACAUGAGUACGUGUCUUCGAAAAUAAUGUAAUUGAGUUUUAAUGAAUGAGUUUCACAACUGUUCUUUCAGCUACUGAAUGGCUCUGGGUCAAAGUUCUCAAAGACCCUGGUGAGGCUGAGAAGUCUAACCUUGAACUGUGUGAAGUAUUUCUGUACCUAAAAAUACCUAUUCAAAUAUAUUUGAAACAAGUUAUUAAAGAUAUUAAACAUA
Molecule: long non-coding RNA, 1705 nt
Organism: Homo sapiens (human)
Lineage: Eukaryota; Metazoa; Chordata; Mammalia; Primates; Hominidae
Exons: 3
Source: RefSeq, a predicted model, not a curated record